UCAUUUUCGGGUUGCUCAACAUUCAUUUGGAAAGUUAUCCUGUUUCUAAAUUUUUAAACAACAUAAAAGAGCUUUUACCCUUUUACCCUUCCUAUUAAACAUUUGUUAUUAUUCCAUUUAACUAGCUAUUAACUUCAAUAAAUGUUUCUGGAAGGACCUGAUAAGAUAUGGUUAUGAAAUUUUUCCAGAAGCUUCACUAACGGAGGCUACUGUAAAUUUUCCAGAAUUUAUUGAGCGUGAAAACUAUUUAUCAUAUUUUUAGUGUAUUAAACCACAUGCAAAAUUUAAGCAAGGUAAAACAUGCAUAAAAAAUAAACCAGAAUUU
RNAcentral lists this long non-coding RNA (325 nucleotides) under Setaria viridis. Its description in RNAcentral is "long non-coding RNA (SVIR_LNC006494)". The record is from RNAcentral. Lineage: Eukaryota; Viridiplantae; Streptophyta; Magnoliopsida; Poales; Poaceae.